This is a long non-coding RNA of Salvia splendens (bonfire salvia), 1103 nucleotides long. RefSeq lists it as uncharacterized. The record is from RefSeq and is a predicted model, not a curated record. The transcript is spliced from 2 exons. Lineage: Eukaryota; Viridiplantae; Streptophyta; Magnoliopsida; Lamiales; Lamiaceae.
UACACAUUCGUUCAGCUCGUAGAUUCAGACGCUAUUCUCUGCAACAAUGGGGUAUGCUAGUUCAUCAUCUGUAUCAAAUUUUCCGUUAUUGUUGUUUUUGUUAUCGAAUUGUCCAUCCUUUUAAUUUUAAAAAUUAUCGUUGGUUUAUGCUUUCGCUGUUUGGAGUAAAUUUUGCUCGGUUUUGAGUAUUCAUGGUUGUAUGAACUAUGAAGUGAUUCUAGUAGUUUUUUUCUAAAUAAUGGAUUAGAAGUGAUAGAUAAAGGAUUAUGGUUGUUGUUCGUAGUUUGCCGUUACUUUCUUCCUCCAUUCGUUUUAAUUUUUUUUUAAUUGUUUCGUCGAGUAUAUAUCAUUUUAAUUAAUAGUAGAUGAUGAUUCAAUGGUUAUCACUGUAUUUCUCCUACCAUUGAGAUGCUUGCUUAGAUGUGUAUUAUAGCUGGUAGUGAAAGGAAUAUGUCAAAGUAGUUGAUCAACUAUUCAAAUUGACCAUUUAUCUACUGGCAUUCUUGUGAAGUUGGAACUUUUGUUCCGGAUUGAUCAUCGUUAAAUAGUGAUUUUGUAUCGAGAUGGACUAGUCUCAAUCGGCUGGUCAUUGAUCAUCUUGGUAAUGAAUGGAAGAAGCCAUUUGCUGGAUCAUCUCAUGCUAAGGGCAUUGUGCUUGAGAAGAUAGGCAUUGAAGCUAAGCAGCCGAACUCUGCCAUCCGUAAAUGUGCUAGAGUCCAGCUCAUUAAGAACGGAAAGAAGAUUGCUGCCUUUGUUCCCAAUUGCAGCAAUUUUUCAGAUUGUCAUUUUUCAUCGCCUUCUUGAACUAAACUUACAGCAUUGUUUCAUUUUCUCUAUGCUCAGGAUGAAGUAUUGAUUACCGGAUUUGGACGUAAGUGUCAUGCCUUUGGAGAUAUUCCUGGUGUUCGAUUUAAGGUGGUGAAAGUGUCGGAGUUUCCCUCCUAGCCCUCUUCAAGGAGAAGAAGGAGAAGCCUAGGUCUUAAGCCAUUUUUCUGAUUAAGUUUUGAUAAAAAUGUUUGAAACUUGGUGUUUGCUCAUCUUUUCUUUAUUUGUAAUUAACUAUACAGAGUUACUAGUAAGAUUUAAUUGUUUUCGUAUUCUUA